CGGCGAGUGAAGCGGCAACAGCUCAAAUUUGAAAUCUGGCUCUUUCAGAGUCCGAGUUGUAAUUUGCAGAGGGCGCUUUGGCGUUGGCAGCGGUCCAAGUUCCUUGGAACAGGACGUCACAGAGGGUGAGAAUCCCGUACGUGGUCGCUGGCCUUCGCCGUGUAAAGCCCCUUCGACGAGUCGAGUUGUUUGGGAAUGCAGCUCUAAAUGGGAGGUAAAUUUCUUCUAAAGCUAAAUACUGGCCAGAGACCGAUAGCGCACAAGUAGAGUGAUCGAAAGAUGAAAAGCACUUUGGAAAGAGAGUCAAAUAGCACGUGAAAUUGUUGAAAGGGAAGCGCUUGCAGCCAGACUUGCCUGUAGUUGCUCAUCCGGGCUUUUGCCCGGUGCACUCUUCUGUAGGCAGGCCAGCAUCAGUUUGGACGGUUGGAUAAAGGACUCUGUCACGUACCUCCUUUCGGGGAGGCCUUAUAGGGGAGUCGUCAUGCAACCAGUCUGGACUGAGGUCCGCGCAUCUGCUAGGAUGCUG
Molecule: ribosomal RNA, 526 nt
Filed under: uncultured fungus
Lineage: Eukaryota; Fungi
Description: eukaryotic LSU rRNA
Rfam family: Eukaryotic large subunit ribosomal RNA
Source: RNAcentral